RNAcentral lists this ribosomal RNA (1376 nucleotides) under uncultured bacterium. Its description in RNAcentral is "bacterial SSU rRNA". It matches the Rfam family "Bacterial small subunit ribosomal RNA", at positions 29 to 1394 of the family's 1533-position model. The record is from RNAcentral.
UUGAACGCUGGCGGUAUGCUUAACACAUGCAAGUCGAACGGAAACGAUACUAGCUUGCUAGUAGGCGUCGAGUGGCGGACGGGUGAGUAACGCGUAGGAAUCUGCCUGAUAGUGGGGGAUAGCCCGAAGAAAUUCGGAUUAAUACCGCAUAAUCUAUUCGUAGUAAAGUGGGGGACUUUCGAGCCUCACGCUAUCAGAUGAGCCUGCGUAAGAUUAGCUUGUUGGUAGGGUAAAAGCCUACCAAGGCGACGAUCUUUAGCUGGUCUGAGAGGAUGAUCAGCCACAUCGGGACUGAGACCCGGCCCGAACUCCUACGGGAGGCAGCAGUGGGGAAUAUUGGACAAUGGGGGCAACCCUGAUCCAGCAAUACCGCGUGUGUGAAGAAGGCCUGAGGGUUGUAAAGCACUUUCAAUUGUGAAGAAAAGUUAGCGGUUAAUAACCGUUAGCCUUGACGUUAACUUUAGAAGAAGCACCGGCUAACUCCGUGCCCAGCAGCCGCGGUAAUACGGAGGGUGCAAGCGUUAAUCGGAAUUACUGGGCGUAAAGCGUGCGUAGGCGGUUUAUUAAGUCAGAUGUGAAAGCCCCGGGCUUAACCUGGGAACUGCAUUUGAAACUGGUCAACUAGAGUAUGGUAGAGGAAAGUGGAAUUUCUGGUGUAGCGGUGAAAUGCGUAGAUAUCAGAAGGAACAUCAAUGGCGAAAGGCAGCUUUCUGGACCAAUACUGACGCUGAGGUACGAAAGCGUGGGUAGCAAACAGGAUUAGAUACCCUGGUAGUCCACGCCGUAAACGAUGAUAACUAGCCGUUGGGGGGAUUUACCCUUUAGUGGCGAAGCUAACGCGUUAAGUUAUCCGCCUGGGGAGUACGGCCGCAAGGUUAAAACUCAAAGGAAUUGACGGGGACCCGCACAAGCGGUGGAGCAUGUGGUUUAAUUCGAUGCAACGCGAAGAACCUUACCUGGUCUUGACAUCCUGCGAACUUUCUAGAAAUAGAUUGGUGCCUUCGGGAACGCAGUGACAGGUGCUGCAUGGCUGUCGUCAGCUCGUGUCGUGAGAUGUUGGGUUAAGUCCCGUAACGAGCGCAACCCCUAUCCUUAUUUGCCAGCACAUCAUGGUGGGAACUAUAAGGAGACUGCCGGUGAUAAACCGGAGGAAGGCGGGGACGACGUCAAGUCAUCAUGGCCCUUACGACCAGGGCUACACACGUGCUACAAUGGGAAGGACAAAGAGCCGCGAAGCCGCGAGGUGUAGCUAAUCUCAUAAACCUUUUCGUAGUCCGGAUUGGAGUCUGCAACUCGACUCCAUGAAGUCGGAAUCGCUAGUAAUCGUAGAUCAGAAUGCUACGGUGAAUACGUUCCCGGGUCUUGUACUCACCGCC